Molecule: long non-coding RNA, 1652 nt
Organism: Sphaerodactylus townsendi
Lineage: Eukaryota; Metazoa; Chordata; Lepidosauria; Squamata; Sphaerodactylidae
Exons: 2
Source: RefSeq, a predicted model, not a curated record
CCAUUGCUAACAGCCUCUCUUUAAUGAGGGCAAAAGUUUCAAUAAAGGUUAGCAUAUUGAAGGAGUCACUGUCAUAACCCAGUUCCCCGAUCUUUGCUGUAACUAUUGUGCACCAUUUUGAAUGGUGAAGUUGCGCCCCUGGAGUCCCGCAUAGCAGAAACCGGACAGAUGAGGGUGAGGCUUUUACGGACCAGGAGUUCGGAUUUCUUCUCUCAGGCGGUUUCUUCCCCUUUGUUAUCUCGAUUCUUCUCUUCCACAUUUUGCCACCCAAGACAGAAAAAGGGAAUGCAGGUGUCCAGGCUGUUUAACAUUCCUUCACAGGGCUCUUGUGGUGGUGGGGAGGAAGAGCAGACUGUACACCAGUGCUAUACACACUGCUCUUUAAACUCCUUGGAGGAACAGGGUGACAAAAAUAAAUGUGAGUGAACGUGCGUGCGUGUAAAGUGCCACCUGACUUACAAUUACCUUGUAACCCUGUAGGAAACAUUCAGAGGUGGUUUGCCCUUCGUGCUUCCAUCUGGCUGGAAGCUUCCUAUGCAAGAGCACCCAUACCCAUACAGGUGCACAGGACCCAUACAAAUAGGACCUGCGUGCUGAAUUUUUUUUCUGCCACGAGACUUUCGUUGGAGAGGAGUUUAUUUAUUUUAUUCAAUCCAUUCAAUGCCAUGUCGAGUAAUAUUUGGGGGAUUUUUAAAAAAACCCUUGAUCCAGCAGUUGAGAGCUUGUGAUUGGUAAUGCAGUAUAAUAUGUUUUUGUGUGGAUUAUCGGGCAGACAUUUGAAUGAUCUCCAGCUGCUCGUGGGUGAUACUUUUGUUUGUAAGGAACAAGUAGAGAACUUACUAAAGAGAAGGGCUUCCAGGAGACAGUGGGUUGCUGGAAACAGGAAGCUGAACUAAGCCAGUGGUGAUCAACUCCAUCGUGUUGUUAAAGAGACUUCCGUCAUACUCUAUUGGACAACUGGAGGCAUCUUCUCUUGUGAACCUAUUUUUACAUCUGAAGAUGCCUCUACAACAGGGGUGUCCAACUCUGGCGCUUCAGAUGUUCGUGGACUACAAUUCCCAUCAGCCCUGCUGUAGGGGGAUUUCUAUCAGGGGCUGAUGGGAAUUGUUGUCGAGCAGGGGCUGAUGGGAAUUGUAGUCCAUGUACAUCUGAAGCGCCAGAGUUGGAUACCCCUACUCUACAACUUUGGACACACUUUGUGGCAACACAGCGAUGGUAAUAUUAUUCUGGGAUAAGUAGACCACCGGGCUCCUCUGGUCUGGGUUUUCUACGAACUCAUACUUUAAAAAACCAUCCUGGCAGUUGUCUGUCUUUUAAACAUGAUUGAUCUUAAAUAUCCCCUUUUAAAAUAAAGUAUGUUUAAAAAUUGUGUCGAUGCAUAAUUUCAAAGUUAACUUAACGUUGCUGCGUUCUUCAGGAGACUUGGUUAUCUCUGUAGAUCCUGUAAUGCAAUCCUUACCACCCCUCAAGACUUUUUAAUUCACUUCAAUUUUUCUCUUUUUAAACUAACAAUAAAUUGUCCAAAAGUCAUAAUUCCAGAGAAGCGUGUUGUAUUCAUUGAUACUUGUUGACCGAUGCGUGGAUUGUCUUUCCCGUGGUCUCGGUUGUGUGGGGCUGGAGAUUACUGGGAAAUGAAUAAACAAUUAAGCAAC